This 72-nucleotide transfer RNA is filed under the name Actinomycetes bacterium. Its description in RNAcentral is "Actinobacteria bacterium tRNA-Lys". It matches the Rfam family "tRNA". Rfam says of the family: Transfer RNA (tRNA) molecules are approximately 80 nucleotides in length. Their secondary structure includes four short double-helical elements and three loops (D, anti-codon, and T loops). RNAcentral also lists the same sequence under 1 other name. Lineage: Bacteria; Bacillati; Actinomycetota; Actinomycetes. The record is from RNAcentral.
GGGCCGUUAGCUCAAUGGCAGAGCAGGGGCCUCUUAAGCCCAAGGUUGCAGGUUCGAGCCCUGCACGGCCCA